CGAGCAGCACCCUGAAGAAAUAAACUUCACUUUCAUGUGAUCUGUCACAAUCCUUUUAUUUGUCCUUUUGAUCUGGUGAUUUGGUGUGAUGUUGCCUUGAAAUGCUCCUUCUUAUACCAAAAUAAUAUUCUGAUUAUCUGCUAAAUUCCUUUUGAAAUCAUAUUCUGAGAAUACUCACUGAAGCCCAUUCAUUUGGAAUAUCAUCUGUAUCAGUGUAACCAGAUUUUGUUGGAUUGCUGCUUCAUGCUAGCGCCGUGGAGGCAGGGUUUCUUUGGCACAGCAAGCUUGAGGCAGGAGACUGUGAGACUAAAGAGCUUCUAUAUUGUGGAAAGGGCCAAAGAAGUUGGUUAUUUUUGGGACAAGCUGACACAGUCGCUGUCCUUAAAUCCACUGUGAAGCUAGACAACAAAAUAGUAAAGCAGGAACACUGGGACAGGGAGUUGCAUGCCACAAUGUCACUAGAACCUACAGUAGCAGUUGAAAGGGCUUUGUUUGGUUUUGGUAAUUGAGUGAUAACUUAGGUGGACUAAGAAGUGUUUAUGUUGAGAUACACAGGAGAUUAGUCCACACAAAGACACUAGUAUGAGCAACAUGUGCCAUG
Panicum virgatum (switchgrass) is the source of this 601-nucleotide long non-coding RNA. RefSeq lists it as uncharacterized. The record is from RefSeq and is a predicted model, not a curated record. The transcript is spliced from 2 exons. NCBI's taxonomy places the organism in Eukaryota, Viridiplantae, Streptophyta, Magnoliopsida, Poales, Poaceae.